CGAUGAUGCCCAGCUUGCUGGGUGGAUUAGUGGCGAACGGGUGAGUAAUACGUGAGUAACCUGCCCUUGACUCUGGGAUAAGCCUGGGAAACCGGGUCUAAUACUGGAUACGACUUCUCAUCGCAUGGUGGGGGGUGGAAAGGGUUCACUGGUUUUGGAUGGGCUCACGGCCUAUCAGCUUGUUGGUGGGGUAAUGGCUCACCAAGGCGACGACGGGUAGCCGGCCUGAGAGGGUGACCGGCCACACUGGGACUGAGACACGGCCCAGACUCCUACGGGAGGCAGCAGUGGGGAAUAUUGCACAAUGGGCGGAAGCCUGAUGCAGCGACGCCGCGUGAGGGAUGACGGCCUUCGGGUUGUAAACCUCUUUCAGCAGGGAAGAAGCGAGAGUGACGGUACCUGCAGAAGAAGCGCCGGCUAACUACGUGCCAGCAGCCGCGGUAAUACGUAGGGCGCAAGCGUUGUCCGGAAUUAUUGGGCGUAAAGAGCUCGUAGGCGGUCUGUCGCGUCUGCUGUGAAAGCCCGGGGCUCAACCCCGGGUCUGCAGUGGGUACGGGCAGACUAGAGUGCAGUAGGGGAGACUGGAAUUCCUGGUGUAGCGGUGAAAUGCGCAGAUAUCAGGAGGAACACCGAUGGCGAAGGCAGGUCUCUGGGCUGUUACUGACGCUGAGGAGCGAAAGCAUGGGGAGCGAACAGGAUUAGAUACCCUGGUAGUCCAUGCCGUAAACGUUGGGCACUAGGUGUGGGGGGC
Molecule: ribosomal RNA, 751 nt
Filed under: Kocuria sp.
Lineage: Bacteria; Bacillati; Actinomycetota; Actinomycetes; Micrococcales; Micrococcaceae
Description: bacterial SSU rRNA
Rfam family: Bacterial small subunit ribosomal RNA
Source: RNAcentral